UAAUACCCCAUAGUAAUUAUUGAUGGCAUCAUUAAUAGUUUAAAGUUCCGGCGGUUAAAGAUGGGCAUGCGUGCCAUUAGCUAGUUGGUGAGGUAACGGCUCACCAAGGCAACGAUGGCUAGGGGUUCUGAGAGGAUUAUCCCCCACACUGGUACUGAGACACGGACCAGACUCCUACGGGAGGCAGCAGUAAGGAAUAUUGGGCAAUGGGCGCAAGCCUGACCCAGCCAUGCCGCGUGCAGGAAGACAGCCUUAUGGGUUGUAAACUGCUUUUGUCAGGGAAUAAACCCUCGUACGAGUACGAGGCUGAAUGUACCUGAAGAAUAAGCAUCGGCUAACUCCGUGCCAGCAGCCGCGGUAAUACGGAGGAUGCAAGCGUUAUCCGGAUUCAUUGGGUUUAAAGGGUGCGCAGGCGGGCUAUUAAGUCAGGGGUGAAAUCCUACGGCUCAACCGUGGAACUGCCUUUGAUACUGAUAGUCUUGAAUUUAGUUGAAGUGGGCGGAAUGUAGCAUGUAGCGGUGAAAUGCAUAGAUAUGCUACAGAACACCGAUAGCGAAGGCAGCUCACUAAGUUAAAAUUGACGCUCAUGCACGAAAGCGUGGGGAUCAAACAGGAUUAGAUACCCUGGUAGUCCACGCUGUAAACGAUGAUCACUCGUUGUUGGCGAUACACAGUCAGCGGCUAAGCGAAAGUGAUAAGUGAUCCACCUGGGGGAGUACGAUCGCAAGGUUGAAACUCAAAGGAAUUGACGGGGGCCCGCACAAGCGGUGGAGCAUGUGGUUUAAUUCGAUGAUACGCGAGGAACCUUACCUGGGCUCAAAUGCAAGUUGACGUAUGGUGAAAGCCGUAUUUCUUCGGACAAUUUGCAAGGUGCUGCAUGGUUGUCGUCAGCUCGUGCCGUGAGGUGUCGGGUUAAGUCCCAUAACGAGCGCAACCCCUAUCAUUAGUUGCCAUCAGGUCAAGCUGGGGACUCUAAUGAAACUGCCUACGCAAGUAGAGAGGAAGGUGGGGAUGACGUCAAAUCAGCACGGCCCUUACGUCCAGGGCUACACACGUGCUACAAUGGCCAGUACAAAGGGCAGCUACCUGGUGACAGGAUGCUAAUCUCAAAAGCUGGUCUCAGUUCGGAUCGAAGUCUGCAACCCGACUUCGUGAAGCUGGAAUCGCUAGUAAUCGCGCAU
Molecule: ribosomal RNA, 1181 nt
Filed under: Lentimicrobium saccharophilum
Lineage: Bacteria; Pseudomonadati; Bacteroidota; Bacteroidia; Bacteroidales; Lentimicrobiaceae
Description: bacterial SSU rRNA
Rfam family: Bacterial small subunit ribosomal RNA
Source: RNAcentral